Molecule: ribosomal RNA, 717 nt
Filed under: Polaribacter sp. 7526
Lineage: Bacteria; Pseudomonadati; Bacteroidota; Flavobacteriia; Flavobacteriales; Flavobacteriaceae
Description: bacterial SSU rRNA
Rfam family: Bacterial small subunit ribosomal RNA
Source: RNAcentral
AUGCAAGUCGAACGGUAACAGGGAGUGCUUGCACUCUGCUGACGACCGGCGCACGGGUGCGUAACGCGUAUGCAACCUACCUUCUACAGGGGGAUAGUCCAGAGAAAUUUGGCAUAAUACCCCAUACGAUCAUUUAUUGGCAUCAAUAGAUGAGGAAAACUCCGGUGGUAGAAGAUGGGCAUGCGUCCUAUUAGUUAGUUGGUAAGGUAACGGCUUACCAAGACAUCGAUAGGUAGGGGUCCUGAGAGGGAGAUCCCCCACACUGGUACUGAGACACGGACCAGACUCCUACGGGAGGCAGCAGUGAGGAAUAUUGGACAAUGGGUGAGAGCCUGAUCCAGCCAUGCCGCGUGCAGGAAGACUGCCCUAUGGGUUGUAAACUGCUUUUAUACAGGAAGAAACACUCGGACGUGUCCGAGCUUGACGGUACUGUAAGAAUAAGCACCGGCUAACUCCGUGCCAGCAGCCGCGGUAAUACGAAGGGUGCAAGCGUUAUCCGGAAUCAUUGGGUUUAAAGGGUCCGCAGGCGGUCAAUUAAGUCAGAGGUGAAAUCCCAUAGCUUAACUAUGGAACUGCCUUUGAUACUGGUUGACUUGAGUUAUACGGAAGUAGAUAGAAUGUGUAGUGUAGCGGUGAAAUGCAUAGAUAUUACACAGAAUACCGAUUGCGAAGGCAGUCUACUACGUAUAUACUGACGCUCAUGGACGAAAGCGUGGG